GGAAAGGUGGCUGAGUGGGUUAAAGCACCUCCCCGCUAAGGAGGCAAUCGAGUAAUCGGUUCGCAGGUUCAAAUCCUGCUCUUUCCG
RNAcentral lists this transfer RNA (87 nucleotides) under Caudoviricetes sp. Its description in RNAcentral is "tRNA-Ser". It matches the Rfam family "tRNA". Rfam says of the family: Transfer RNA (tRNA) molecules are approximately 80 nucleotides in length. Lineage: Duplodnaviria; Heunggongvirae; Uroviricota; Caudoviricetes. The record is from RNAcentral.